RNAcentral lists this ribosomal RNA (497 nucleotides) under uncultured bacterium. RNAcentral's name for it is "partial 16S ribosomal RNA". It matches the Rfam family "Bacterial small subunit ribosomal RNA", at positions 29 to 507 of the family's 1533-position model. The record is from RNAcentral.
AGUGAACGCUGGCGGCAGGCCUAACACAUGCAAGUCGAACGGAAACACAGUAAGCUCUCUCCCCUACGGUUGGCGGCUGGCGGAUGGGUGACGCGUACAUCGCCUUCUUAUAUUUCGUGGGGGACUUCGUAGGGACACUUACGCUAACACCUCAUAUGUCCUACGGCAGAAAUCAGGAGUUCAUCGGAGCUUUCGCGACUCUAUGAGCUGAUGCCGGACCGCAUUAGCUAGUUGGUAAGGUAACGGCUUACCAAGGCGACGAUGCGUAGCCGAGCUGAGAGGGUGAUCGGCCACACUGGAACUGAGACACGGUCCAGACUCCUACGGGAGGCAGCAGUAGGGAAUAUUCCGCAAUGGGCGCAAGCCUGAUGGAGCCAUGCCGCGUGAGUGAUGAAGGUCUUCGGAUUGUAAAACCCUGUUAUUAGGGAAGAAAAAAUGUGUAAGUAACCACGGACGUCUUGACGGUACCUAAAGAGAAAGCACCGGCUAACUACGUG